This 85-nucleotide transfer RNA is filed under the name Felis catus (domestic cat). It matches the Rfam family "tRNA". From Rfam's summary of the family: Transfer RNA (tRNA) molecules are approximately 80 nucleotides in length. Their secondary structure includes four short double-helical elements and three loops (D, anti-codon, and T loops). Lineage: Eukaryota; Metazoa; Chordata; Mammalia; Carnivora; Felidae. The record is from Rfam by way of RNAcentral.
GCCUGGGUGGCUCGGUCAGUUAAGCAACCGACUUUGGCUCAGGUCAUGAUCUCAUGGUUCGUGGGUUCAAGCCCCACCUCGGGCU